CCAAAAAAGAUACCCCACAUCCAAAGACAAAGGAGAAGCCACAAUGAGACGUUUUGAAGGCUGGGAAGGCCAAGAUCAAAGUGCUGGCAGAUUCAAUGUCUGGUGAGAGCUUGCUUCCUGGUCCAUAGACUGCCUAUGUGUUCUUCUCACUGUGUCCUCACCUGGCAGAAAGGGCAAGUGAUUAGCCAGCUGCUUUGGUAGUGGUCAUUGUCAUCAAAACUGCAAUGGAAGCAAAAUUCCAUAGCCUGGUAUGCAGCCCUCAGAAAGCUCCUCUUAUACUUCAAGGAUCAGUUUAUCCUGAAAUAUGUUACAGAGGAGAAAUGGAAAGAUUCUUUGAAAAAAACAUCUUCUGGAAAUAUCAGAAUGAGCUGACCCUAGGCACUGACGCCAUCACCCAUCAGAAGCCAUGACCUGUGAUUUAUGGGUGUGAAUUAGAUCGUAGACUCUCAAGAGAAUUGACACCCUCAGCAACUGCAAAAUGAAGAAAUCUGUGUCAUUUUGCUCAGGAUGAGUGAGUAUACCAACAGCAAUGAUGACCUUUAUUUUCAAAUCAUGGACAAUCAGAGAAAUGGUAAAUGAAGAAAUAAGAAACCAAUUAUAAGACAUUAGCUGCCUGAGAAAGUCCAGGAACAUCUUCUCACUGGAAGAUUCUCAACAUGUCCUUGUGGACAUUUGGGGAAUGGGCACCAAAUCAAUCCCUGCUCUCUCCUGUUCCGUGAUGUGGCCUAUUUCUGGGCCCUCAUCCCUUCAUAUUCAGUAUGAAUUUUGGUUUUAUCUCUUAUAAUGGAACUGAAAAUUAAAAUACUUCAGAGUCCAACUUUGAGGAGCGAGGCAAUAAGUGGAUGAAGGGAUACCUACAAAGAUCUUCUCUCAAAAUACAACUGCAGCCACUUUCCAUUGGGGAGGAUAAGAUGGAGUGCAGAAGUCAGCAGAGAGCUGUCCCUGGAAUCCUACAGGACGUGGCCAGAGACGACACAGGGCAUCUUUACUUCAUGGACCCUCUGCAUUUACUUUCUGGUUUUUAUUGAGGAAUUUUACCUCAAAUUAUUAUAUUUUUCUCAUUACAUAUGUUUUCAAAUAAGUAGGAAAAAUUAGUACAUGCAUAUGGUUUAAAAAAAUCAAGUAGUACAAAAACAGUACAAUGAGAAGUCUUCCUUUAACUGCAGAUUCCAGUCCCUAGAGGCAGACACUCCUGAAAUAUUCUGUCUAUAAAAGCAUGUAUUGGGUUGGCCAAAAUGUUCAUUCGUUUUUUUCUGUAAGAUGCCUCUAGUAGCACUUAGUUGUCUUUAACUUCAUU
Molecule: long non-coding RNA, 1297 nt
Organism: Aethalodelphis obliquidens (Pacific white-sided dolphin)
Lineage: Eukaryota; Metazoa; Chordata; Mammalia; Artiodactyla; Delphinidae
Exons: 7
Source: RefSeq, a predicted model, not a curated record